This 2884-nucleotide ribosomal RNA is filed under the name Vibrio cholerae HC-61A2. RNAcentral describes it as "bacterial LSU rRNA". It matches the Rfam family "Bacterial large subunit ribosomal RNA". Lineage: Bacteria; Pseudomonadati; Pseudomonadota; Gammaproteobacteria; Vibrionales; Vibrionaceae. The record is from RNAcentral.
UAAGUGACUAAGCGUACACGGUGGAUGCCUGGGCAGUCAGAGGCGAUGAAGGACGUACUAACUUGCGAUAAGCGCAGAUAAGGCAGUAAGAGCCGUUUGAGUCUGCGAUUUCCGAAUGGGGAAACCCAACUGCAUAAGCAGUUACUGUUAACUGAAUACAUAGGUUAACAGAGCAAACCGGGGGAACUGAAACAUCUAAGUACCCCGAGGAGAAGAAAUCAACCGAGAUUCCGGUAGUAGCGGCGAGCGAACCUGGAUUAGCCCUUAAGCACUCGGUGAAGUAGGUGAACAAGCUGGAAAGCUUGGCGAUACAGGGUGAUAGCCCCGUAACCGACGCUUCAUCGAGCGUGAAAUCGAGUAGGGCGGGACACGUGAUAUCCUGUCUGAAUAUGGGGGGACCAUCCUCCAAGGCUAAAUACUCCUGACUGACCGAUAGUGAACCAGUACCGUGAGGGAAAGGCGAAAAGAACCCCUGUGAGGGGAGUGAAAUAGAACCUGAAACCGUGUACGUACAAGCAGUAGGAGCACCUUCGUGGUGUGACUGCGUACCUUUUGUAUAAUGGGUCAGCGACUUAUAUUCAGUGGCAAGGUUAACCGUAUAGGGGAGCCGUAGCGAAAGCGAGUCUUAACUGGGCGCUCAGUCUCUGGAUAUAGACCCGAAACCGGGUGAUCUAGCCAUGGGCAGGUUGAAGGUUGAGUAACAUCAACUGGAGGACCGAACCGACUAAUGUUGAAAAAUUAGCGGAUGACUUGUGGCUAGGGGUGAAAGGCCAAUCAAACUCGGAGAUAGCUGGUUCUCCCCGAAAGCUAUUUAGGUAGCGCCUCGGACGAAUACUACUGGGGGUAGAGCACUGUUAAGGCUAGGGGGUCAUCCCGACUUACCAACCCUUUGCAAACUCCGAAUACCAGUAAGUACUAUCCGGGAGACACACGGCGGGUGCUAACGUCCGUCGUGGAGAGGGAAACAACCCAGACCGCCAGCUAAGGUCCCAAAGUAUUGCUAAGUGGGAAACGAUGUGGGAAGGCUCAGACAGCUAGGAUGUUGGCUUAGAAGCAGCCAUCAUUUAAAGAAAGCGUAAUAGCUCACUAGUCGAGUCGACCUGCGCGGAAGAUGUAACGGGGCUAAGCAAUACACCGAAGCUGCGGCAAUGUCUUUUAGAUAUUGGGUAGGGGAGCGUUCUGUAAGCCGUUGAAGGUGAAUCGUAAGGUUUGCUGGAGGUAUCAGAAGUGCGAAUGCUGACAUGAGUAACGACAAAGGGGGUGAAAAAACCUCCUCGCCGGAAGACCAAGGGUUCCUGUCCAACGUUAAUCGGGGCAGGGUGAGUCGACCCCUAAGGUGAGGCCGAAAGGCGUAAUCGAUGGGAAACGGGUUAAUAUUCCCGUACUUCUGACUAUUGCGAUGGGGGGACGGAGAAGGCUAGGUGGGCCAGGCGACGGUUGUCCUGGUUCAAGUGCGUAGGCUUGAGGGUUAGGUAAAUCCGGCUCUCUCUAAGGCUGAGACACGACGUCGAGCUGCUACGGCAGUGAAGUCAUUGAUGCCAUGCUUCCAGGAAAAGCCUCUAAGCUUCAGAUAGUCAGGAAUCGUACCCCAAACCGACACAGGUGGUCGGGUAGAGAAUACCAAGGCGCUUGAGAGAACUCGGGUGAAGGAACUAGGCAAAAUGGUACCGUAACUUCGGGAGAAGGUACGCUCUUGAUGGUGAAGUCCCUCGCGGAUGGAGCUGACGAGAGUCGCAGAUACCAGGUGGCUGCAACUGUUUAUUAAAAACACAGCACUGUGCAAAAUCGCAAGAUGACGUAUACGGUGUGACGCCUGCCCGGUGCCGGAAGGUUAAUUGAUGGGGUUAGCGCAAGCGAAGCUCUUGAUCGAAGCCCCGGUAAACGGCGGCCGUAACUAUAACGGUCCUAAGGUAGCGAAAUUCCUUGUCGGGUAAGUUCCGACCUGCACGAAUGGCGUAAUGAUGGCCACGCUGUCUCCACCCGAGACUCAGUGAAAUUGAAAUCGCUGUGAAGAUGCAGUGUACCCGCGGCUAGACGGAAAGACCCCGUGAACCUUUACUACAGCUUGGCACUGAACAUUGAACCUACAUGUGUAGGAUAGGUGGGAGGCUAUGAAGACGUGACGCCAGUUGCGUUGGAGCCGUCCUUGAAAUACCACCCUUGUAUGUUUGAUGUUCUAACUUAGACCCAUUAUCUGGGUUGAGGACAGUGCCUGGUGGGUAGUUUGACUGGGGCGGUCUCCUCCCAAAGAGUAACGGAGGAGCACGAAGGUGGGCUAAUCACGGUUGGACAUCGUGAGGUUAGUGCAAUGGCAUAAGCCCGCUUAACUGCGAGAAUGACGGUUCGAGCAGGUGCGAAAGCAGGUCAUAGUGAUCCGGUGGUUCUGUAUGGAAGGGCCAUCGCUCAACGGAUAAAAGGUACUCCGGGGAUAACAGGCUGAUACCGCCCAAGAGUUCAUAUCGACGGCGGUGUUUGGCACCUCGAUGUCGGCUCAUCACAUCCUGGGGCUGAAGUCGGUCCCAAGGGUAUGGCUGUUCGCCAUUUAAAGUGGUACGCGAGCUGGGUUUAGAACGUCGUGAGACAGUUCGGUCCCUAUCUGCCGUGGGCGUUGGAAGAUUGAAGGGGGCUGCUCCUAGUACGAGAGGACCGGAGUGGACGAACCUCUGGUGUUCGGGUUGUGUCGCCAGACGCAUUGCCCGGUAGCUAAGUUCGGAAUUGAUAAGCGCUGAAAGCAUCUAAGCGCGAAGCGAGCCCUGAGAUGAGUCUUCCCUGAUACUUUAAGUAUCCUAAAGGGUUGUUCGAGACUAGAACGUUGAUAGGCAGGGUGUGUAAGCGUUGUGAGGCGUUGAGCUAACCUGUACUAAUUGCCCGUGAGGCUUAACCA